This is a non-coding RNA of Paramuricea clavata, 119 nucleotides long. NCBI's taxonomy places the organism in Eukaryota, Metazoa, Cnidaria, Anthozoa, Malacalcyonacea, Plexauridae. The record is from the annotation of a GenBank genome assembly.
GCGAGUGUUUCACCGGGAUAUCCAAACACGAGAAAACAAUGUAUGAAAACACGAGCGCGAAGCGCGAGUGUUUUCAUACAUUCUUUUCGAGUGUUUGGAUAUCCCGGUGAGACACCAGC